This 482-nucleotide ribosomal RNA is filed under the name uncultured bacterium. RNAcentral's name for it is "partial 16S ribosomal RNA". It matches the Rfam family "Bacterial small subunit ribosomal RNA", at positions 30 to 507 of the family's 1533-position model. The record is from RNAcentral.
AUUGAACGCUGGCGGCAUGCCUUACACAUGCAAGUCGAACGGUAACGGGCCUUCGGGUGCCGACGAGGGGCGACCGGGGGCGUAAUACAUCGGAACGUGCCCGAACGUGGGGGAUAACGAGGGGAAAGGUUUGGUAAUAUCGGCUACUAUCUCAUGCUGCCAGCAGGUGAACGCAAGGGAUUUUCGGGACUGGGGGGCCGAUGGCAGAUUAGGUAGUUGGCGGGAUAAAGGCGUACCAAGGCGACGAUCGGUAGCUGGUCUGAGAGGAUGAUCAGCCACACUGGAACUGAGACACGGCCCAGACUCCUACGGGAGGCAGCAGUGGGGAAUUUUGGACAAUGGGCGCAAGCCUGAUCCAGCCAUGCCGCGUGCAUGAAGAAGGCCUUCGGGUUGUAAACUGCUUUUGUACGGAACGAAAAGCCGUCGUUUAAUACAGGAGUGUUAUGACGGUACCGUAAGAAUAAGCACCGGCUAACUACGUG